AAGUCGUAACAAGGUAACCGUAGGUGAACCUGCGGUUGGAUCAUUAAAAAUUGUUAAAGCGAGGGUAAAAUUAGUGGGGGUCUCCUCUACUAAGGUAAGACUACUGUAAUAAUUUAUGGUAUUACCACCCAAACUUUUCACCCCUUGUGCACUAAAAUUGUAUUUUGGGCGGUUGAGGUAAACUCUUCCGCCCAGCAGUGUUAAACACCAUUUGAAACUUGUCUGAAAUUAUUAUUUUAAAUAGUAACAACUUUUGACAACGGAUCUCUUGGCUCUC
Molecule: unclassified non-coding RNA, 277 nt
Filed under: fungal sp.
Lineage: Eukaryota; Fungi
Description: partial internal transcribed spacer region
Rfam family: Eukaryotic small subunit ribosomal RNA (bases 1-46)
Source: RNAcentral